This 519-nucleotide ribosomal RNA is filed under the name uncultured manure pit bacterium P35. RNAcentral describes it as "bacterial SSU rRNA". It matches the Rfam family "Bacterial small subunit ribosomal RNA", at positions 7 to 498 of the family's 1533-position model. The record is from RNAcentral.
GAGAGUUUGAUCCUGGCUCAGGACGAACGCUGGCGGCGUGCCUAACACAUGCAAGUCGAACGGAUUCAGAUGUUAGACAGUGGGUAUUAGAGAAUCUAAAAUCUAAUGUCUAAUGUCUAAUAUCUGAAUUAGUGGCGGACGGGUGAGUAACGCGUGAGCAACCUGCCUUACAGAGGGGGAUAACAUUCGGAAACGAAUGCUAAUACCGCAUAAUAUACAUUUACGGCAUCGUAGAUAUAUCAAAGGAGCAAUCCGCUGUAAGAUGGGCUCGCGUCCGAUUAGAUAGUUGGUGAGGUAAAGGCUCACCAAGUCUGCGAUCGGUAGCCGGACUGAGAGGUUGAACGGCCACAUUGGGACUGAGACACGGCCCAGACUCCUACGGGAGGCAGCAGUGGGGAAUAUUGCACAAUGGGCGAAAGCCUGAUGCAGCAACGCCGCGUGAGGGAAGACGGUCUUCGGAUUGUAAACCUUUAACUCUUGGAGAAGAAAGAAACGACGGUAUCCAAAGGAGCCACGGCU